RNAcentral lists this ribosomal RNA (809 nucleotides) under Streptomyces sp. RNAcentral's name for it is "bacterial SSU rRNA". It matches the Rfam family "Bacterial small subunit ribosomal RNA", at positions 95 to 917 of the family's 1533-position model. The record is from RNAcentral. Lineage: Bacteria; Bacillati; Actinomycetota; Actinomycetes; Kitasatosporales; Streptomycetaceae.
GUGGCGACGGGUGAGUAACACGUGGGCAAUCUGCCCUUCACUCUGGGACAAGCCCUGGAAACGGGGUCUAAUACCGGAUAACACUCCUCCCUGCAUGGGGAGGGGUUAAAAGCUCCGGCGGUGAAGGAUGAGCCCGCGGCCUAUCAGCUUGUUGGUGGGGUAAUGGCCUACCAAGGCGACGACGGGUAGCCGGCCUGAGAGGGCGACCGGCCACACUGGGACUGAGACACGGCCCAGACUCCUACGGGAGGCAGCAGUGGGGAAUAUUGCACAAUGGGCGAAAGCCUGAUGCAGCGACGCCGCGUGAGGGAUGACGGCCUUCGGGUUGUAAACCUCUUUCAGCAGGGAAGAAGCGCAAGUGACGGUACCUGCAGAAGAAGCGCCGGCUAACUACGUGCCAGCAGCCGCGGUAAUACGUAGGGCGCAAGCGUUGUCCGGAAUUAUUGGGCGUAAAGAGCUCGUAGGCGGCUUGUCACGUCGGAUGUGAAAGCCCGGGGCUUAACCCCGGGUCUGCAUUCGAUACGGGCAGGCUAGAGUGUGGUAGGGGAGAUCGGAAUUCCUGGUGUAGCGGUGAAAUGCGCAGAUAUCAGGAGGAACACCGGUGGCGAAGGCGGAUCUCUGGGCCAUUACUGACGCUGAGGAGCGAAAGCGUGGGGAGCGAACAGGAUUAGAUACCCUGGUAGUCCACGCCGUAAACGUUGGGAACUAGGUGUUGGCGACAUUCCACGUCGUCGGUGCCGCAGCUAACGCAUUAAGUUCCCCGCCUGGGGAGUACGGCCGCAAGGCUAAAACUCAAAGGAAUUGACGGG